GAUGAAGAACGCAGCGAAAUGCGAUAAGUAAUGCGAAUUGCAGAAUCCGUGAGUCAUCGAAUCUUUGAACGCACAUUGCGCCCGCCAGUAUUCUGGCGGGCAUGCCUGUUCGAGCGUCAUUUCAACCAUCAAGCCCCAGGCUUGUGUUGGGGACCUGCGGCUGCCGCAGGCCCUGAAAACCAGUGGCGGGCUCGCUGUCACACCGGGCGUAGUAGAUUUUAUCUCGCUCAGGGCGUGCUGCGGGUUCCGGCCGUUAAAAAGCCUUUUUUACCCAAGGUUGACCUCGGAUCAGGUAGGAAGACCCGCUGAACUUAAGCAUAUCAAUAAGCGGAGGA
RNAcentral lists this unclassified non-coding RNA (335 nucleotides) under soil metagenome. RNAcentral describes it as "partial contains 5.8S ribosomal RNA, internal transcribed spacer 2, and large subunit ribosomal RNA". The stretch from base 1 to 119 matches the Rfam family "5.8S ribosomal RNA", at positions 35 to 154 of the family's 154-position model. The record is from RNAcentral.